CUUGACUGUAUCCUGGAAUUGGGUUCGGGCUUUUCUUGCGCAGCCUAGGUGGGAGGCUAUGAAGAUUUCCUUCCGGGGAAGUUGGAGUCAUCAGUGAGAUACCACUCUGUCAAGGCUAGAAUUCUAACCGUCUGCCGUUAUCCGGCGACGGAACAGUAUCAGGUGGGCAGUUUGACUGGGGCGGUCGCCUCCUAAAUGGUAACGGAGGCGCGCAAAGGUUUCCUCAGGCUGGUUGGAAAUCAGCCGAAGAGUGUAAAGGCAGAAGGGAGCUUGACUGCAAGAGCAACAACUCAAGCAGGGACGAAAGUCGGCCUUAGUGAUCCGACGGCGCUGAGUGGAAGGGCCGUCGCUCAACGGAUAAAAGUUA
This 367-nucleotide ribosomal RNA is filed under the name uncultured organism. RNAcentral's name for it is "bacterial LSU rRNA". It matches the Rfam family "Bacterial large subunit ribosomal RNA", at positions 2099 to 2465 of the family's 2925-position model. The record is from RNAcentral.